Molecule: non-coding RNA, 1179 nt
Organism: Chiloscyllium plagiosum (whitespotted bambooshark)
Lineage: Eukaryota; Metazoa; Chordata; Chondrichthyes; Orectolobiformes; Hemiscylliidae
Source: RefSeq, a predicted model, not a curated record
UCAAAUGGGAGAAACAUUAAAACGAGAACACAACACAUUUAUUUAAAACAUUCCAAUGUGUUAUAAAAUUAUCAUCGAGAAACUAUUAUCUUGCAUCUCUAUCAAUGAAGAAAGUGAACAGUAACAUAAAUCCUGAAUCGUUUGCCGACAUCCGAGAGCCGAUCCGGCUGUGCAAAACCAGGUAAGCCCGUUCGCCACCUGGAGGAGGAGUCUCACGGUGGUACGUUGGCCACACAAACACACACUUUGAGAACUAACUACUCUGAUAAACAACGUACAGUUUCACCUCAGGGCUAGGAUUGAAAACUAUACACCUUUUGUUUUCUUAGUCCGCAAACCCUGUGUUGCGUUUAUCAAUGUGAGUCCUGCAAGGAAAUGCUGACGAUCACUUCGUUCUAGUGCUGAGACCUGUCCACUCUGGAAUUAACCCACAGUUGGAAUGUUUGCAAACCGUACAACUCUGGGUGUUUUGGAAAACUGUCUCCAAUGGAAGGGGGAACGGAAAAUCACAUUUGCAUAGUCAAUCCCACCUAUAUCUUGGAUGCCAACAAAAUGCAGUCCUCCUUACCAGCUGACGUCACAUCCCCUGUAAAAGGAGUCUGAUCCCCGAACGCCACGUACGUGGAUUUAUUUUCAGCUCUCAACCAACCCUGCUAACAAACUACGCAACUCUCCUGAUGGACAGUAGAAUUAACCAUUAGGAGAUGGACUGGUGUAUAAGGCGGGACCUCUUGGGGGAGCCUGACCAAUGGAGGUGAUAUAGAGGCGUGGCCUAUCGGUGCUGGUGCUUGGUUACGUUGCAACAUUUGUCAAACGGGGUCGAGCUGUGGUGGAUUGGAGCUGAAGGUGCUGUUUACGUUCAUAGAGGGUUUGCGAAGACCGUGGCUGUGUAUCUUUCUACGGGUUAGAGGUGCCGAGGGUAAAGGGAACACCACUAAACCUGAUCUUUCAUGUUCAACUUCAUCAUUGAAAAAGAACUUCAUUACCCAGAGUCCUGCCUGAAAGUAGGAGGCACCAGACAUCAGGAUGCAUUGGAAGAGUAUGUCACUGUCCCGCUGUUGGUUGCUGCUCUGUCUCCUUCUUGCUGCUGAAACUGUACCAAUCGAUAAGAUAAAGGUGACCAAAGUAGAAGAACCAGAAGUGCAGGCAACAGUUGAAAGUCCAGUAACUGGGCUGUAU